UUUCGAUUUCUAAAAGGGUCAGCAAAAUAUGAUCCCAAAUUUCGAAAUUUCUCGUUCUUCUUUCACCAUUCAUUCACCCAAAUUAGGAACCCUAGGUAGGAGACUCCCCAAAUUCGAGAGCCAGUCGCUGCUGUGCACAAACGCUGCGCGCAGCAGCUUUUCGUCGCGCCGAUGGCUGCUGUUCGGCAGCCCGUGCACUCCCAGGUCGUCGCCGCAGGGUCAGGCCACAGCAGGAGACGCAGCACGGUUCGCCGUGCUGUACACCGCCGUCGUUGUCGCCAUCACUGGAGCUCGGCAGAUUCGAGCCGUCGUCGGAACAGAGGAGACGUCGCCUCCGUGACUCCCUCUCCCUCUCUAGGCUGCUUUACAGCUGUGAGCACCGCCGUCAGCCGCCAGCCAGCUCCGCCGCCGUGCCACGCUGCUGAUAUCUCGCCGGCAGCCUCCUGACUGCCAGCAGCCGUCCGGUUCUCCGUCGAUCAACGAGCAGCCGUCGCCGAAGUCCAUCGGGGAGCCACCCCUGCUCCCGUCGCCCUUGUCGUCGCUGCUGUCCGAGCGUGAUUCGAGGCGCGCCACCACCGCCUCGCGCUAUUGCUCCAGCGGCGUAGCAGCCUCCUCGCGAUUAAGCUAAGUCUCGGUUUAAAUUCUAAAUUUUCAUCUUUGUCUAAAUUCUCAGUUUUGAGCAUGUGGCAGUAUGAAUAAUCUGGACUUUUGGAUUACAGUUUUGAGCCUAUUUCUUACUGAUUGUGAGGGGUUAACGUUACUUGAAGGAAACUUGUGUAUACAUGAUGGUUUCUAUAUAUUUUUUUUGUUCCUACAUGAUGCCAAAGAGAAGGCUUGGGGUGGGGAGCAUGGUUACCUGUUGUGGAGUUAUGGAAAGGUGUGAAAGAGCUCCCCCUUUGCCGCCUAGUUCUCGGCUCCUCAGAGAAUAAGAGUAUGUUGAUUUCUUUGAUGUGGUGGGAGGGUGUUCAAGGUAGUGUUGAGGGGGUUUUAUAGGCUGAUCUUGGUGUACUUGGGAGGAUUAAAUGGGCUGAUUUCUCAUUUUGUUUUCUAUAGGCAGCAUAUCUUCCUUUCUAUGAUUCUGCAGUACCUUUAGUUUAAUGUAACUUGGUGUCAUUUGUAGUACUAGGUACUUGAUCAUUAACUCCAUUUGUUCCCAUAUGAUUAUCUAGUACUUUGGCUAUGAACUUUCAUUGUUUGCUUGUGGCUGGUGAGAGAAAAAUAGGUGUACAAGGAGGGCUGCAGGGUUUGUUAGGAGUGGGAGUGUAGCUGCUGCUGCAAAUCUGAUCUUGCCCCUUUUUGGCAAGUCCUUUGGUCUCUCAUUGUUAAAGGAAGAUAGAAGGGAAACUUGGCUGCCACAAGGUUGCUGCAUUGUUGUUGUUUCUCGCGGGCGGCCUGGGCUCGCUGCCCUUAGCCGACGGCUGCACGGAUAGGGGCGCGGUGGAGUGCGACGUGGGCUCGGGAGAAGAAGCCCAAAGUGCAAGCCAUACUAGACUUUAUUUCCUUAAGCUUUUGGCCCAUUCAAGAGUAUUUGUUCUAGUGCAGUAUCCCAUAUUCUCUUCAACAACUUCAUACGUGAGGCGAUCAUAAUGUAUUAUGUUUUCGAACGCUUUUAGUUCGGGGUACACACUUUCAUAUCCUUGUACACUUUCUUUUAUUUAUAUUUUAUUUAUUUAUUACAUACACA
Long non-coding RNA from Salvia splendens (bonfire salvia), 1684 nucleotides. RefSeq lists it as uncharacterized. The record is from RefSeq and is a predicted model, not a curated record. NCBI's taxonomy places the organism in Eukaryota, Viridiplantae, Streptophyta, Magnoliopsida, Lamiales, Lamiaceae. The transcript is spliced from 2 exons.